GCCUGACAUCUAGCCCACACCAUUCGCAUGACUACCUCUCCUUUCCACCUCUAAACAAAACAUUUUCCCACUUUAGUACAGGCGAUCGAAAAAUUUAUAGGCGCUUCAGAUUAAGUACCGCAAGGGAAUGAUGAAAUAAAAAUGAAAUAAAUUUAAAGCCUUAAAUAGCAGAGACUACCACUCG
Molecule: ribosomal RNA, 184 nt
Filed under: Glandirana rugosa (Japanese wrinkled frog)
Lineage: Eukaryota; Metazoa; Chordata; Amphibia; Anura; Ranidae
Description: Rugosa rugosa (Japanese wrinkled frog) partial 16S ribosomal RNA
Source: RNAcentral